RNAcentral lists this ribosomal RNA (662 nucleotides) under Alexandrium tamarense. RNAcentral describes it as "LSU rRNA". It matches the Rfam family "Eukaryotic large subunit ribosomal RNA", at positions 47 to 651 of the family's 3401-position model. Lineage: Eukaryota; Dinophyceae; Gonyaulacales; Pyrocystaceae. The record is from RNAcentral.
UAAGUGGUGGAAAUUAAACCAAAUGGGAUAUCUUUAGUAAUUGCGAAUGAACAAGGAUAUGCUUAGCUUGACAAAUGGAGCUAUUGGCUUUGAAUUGUAUUGUGGAAAUGUAUUACCAACAGAGGUGCAGGUGCCAGCCUAUUGAAAUAAAGCGUCAAUGAGGGUGAGAAUCCUGUUUGUCAUGUGCAGCCCUUUGUGCACGGUGUAUAUUUGCUGAGUCACACUCCUUGGCAUUGGAAUGCAAAGUGGGUGGUAAGUUUCAUGUAAAGGUAAACAUGCAAUUGAGACUGAUAGCACACAAGUACCAUGAGGGAAAUAUGAAAAGGACUUUGAAAAGAKAAUUAAAUGAGUUUGUAUUUGCUGAACACAAAGUAAACAGACUUGAUUUGCUUGGUGGGAGUGUUGCACUUGCUUGACAAGAGCUUUGGGCUGUGGGUGUAAUGAUUMUUUCUUUGCAUGCCAGUUUCUAUUUGUACAUCUGAUUACCUUUGCACAUGAAUGAUAAGUCUCCUGUGGGGGGUGGAYUGCAUGUGCAUGUAAUGAUUUGUGUUUUGAUAAAUGUGUCUGGUGUAUGUGUGUGUUCCUGUGCUUGGGGAUGCUUCCUUCCUUGGACUUACAAGCCCUGACACACACAUGCUGGCAAAAUGCUUCUGCUUGACCCG